UGCGCAUAAAUCAGAAUGAAACGGAGCAUUCAAGAUAAAAAACAGACGAACAACUACAGCACUUUAGGGCAUGUUAAGAGUUUGCAUUCAACAGCUCUUAAAUGUGUGUACGUGUAUGCUUAUUCAUUAUAACCAGCAGGUUAGUUUGAUCAAGUCGUUGGCCACACGCAUGCAGAGCCUCGGGAGGAUCAUAGCAUUGCAAAGCAGGACUUUUUACAGAUACUAUUACAUAGAAUAUAAUGAUGUGCAUAUGUAUGUGCAGUAGCAAAAACAGCGUAUCUUCAUUUCAUUUUGUUUCUUGUCGCACACUAUUUUGUUUCCGGUUCAGUGUUCAUUGUAGGCUGUCGAUGAAGAAUUACCAGACAUGUAUUUUAGUUUGUAAAAAAAACCCAAAAAAAACCACAGCAUUUGAAACAAAAACCAGAAAGCACACAACACAGAGAGCUGGCUAAAAUAUUUAAAGCUUUUAACUAAAGAGGGCGAAUACAACUAACAAGUACAUUACGUUAUAUGCCGUUUAGAUGUUUAUGGAUUUAUGUGAAACAUGCUGUCAUCACAAUAUACAUUAUUGUAUUUGAUUUACGAAGUACUGUAGACAGAAAAGAAACAAAAGUUCCAACUCGUACUACAAAGGCAAAGGCAACAGGAUUUUUUUAUACAGGUCAUUUAUUUUUAGAAAUAUUCUAAAAUGUUACAGUUGCCAAAAACAAGUAUGUGAUCUCCAUUACCAUUGGUUCACCUUGCUGUCUCUUUGAGAUUCAUAAGCAUGUUGAAAAAUCUUGACACCAGCAACCACCAAGUUUAAUUGUAAACAUCAUAAACAGCAAAGGACAAGGUUAACACAGACUUCAAAAAUUCUUUGCUAUGCAUCAUCAACUUUUGGCUGUAGUCCUCUUCAUGUCAUUCAUCAAAAUCCAUACCCUUCAGCAGGUGGUGCUGUAGUGCAGUCCAGGCUGGUGCUUGUGAGGAGGAAUCCCAGAGGACAGAACAGGAGGAGAGGAGCGAGGGGGCCAAGAGAAGCCUGGUUUGGAAUCCUUUAGUCCCUGUCAUCCUUGUGCUAAGAACCAGCAGAAACCGGUGCGUCACAACGGCUAUGCUGAGCAGAUGGAAUUAUGUGCAGCACUAAACAGAACAUUCCAGUAGAUCUGAUACAUCGACACUCCAAGGACUUGUUAAUAAAUGCUGAUCGGAGGGGGCAUUGAUUGGUACUCGGUUGUAAAGGUGGUAAUCCUUGGUGACUGCAUUUGUGGAAGGGUGCAGAUAUUUUCACAUGAUAUGUUUGGUUGGCAAAUCAUGUUUUAACCCUUGUAAAAAUAUUUGACUGCAAUUUGUAUGCUAUGCUUUUGUUUGCCUUUAACGUCUCAGUGACUUUGAAUAAAAACCCAUUUCACUG
This is a long non-coding RNA of Acipenser ruthenus (sterlet), 1393 nucleotides long. RefSeq lists it as uncharacterized. The record is from RefSeq and is a predicted model, not a curated record. Lineage: Eukaryota; Metazoa; Chordata; Actinopteri; Acipenseriformes; Acipenseridae. The transcript has 7 exons.